RNAcentral lists this ribosomal RNA (445 nucleotides) under uncultured bacterium. Its description in RNAcentral is "partial 16S ribosomal RNA". It matches the Rfam family "Bacterial small subunit ribosomal RNA", at positions 354 to 796 of the family's 1533-position model. The record is from RNAcentral.
GUAGGGAAUAUUGGUCAAUGGACGAAAGUCUGAACCAGCCAUUCCGCGUGCAGGAAGAAGAUUCUAUGGAUUGUAAACUGCUUUUAGCAGAGAAGAAACGCCUUCAUUGAUGAGGGUUUGACGGUAUCUGCGGAAUAAGCACCGGCUAACUCCGUGCCAGCAGCCGCGGUAAUACGGGGGGUGCAAGCGUUAUCCGGAAUCACUGGGUUUAAAGGGUGCGUAGGCGGGAAAUUAAGUCAGUGGUGAAAGUCUGUUGCUUAACGAUAGAAUUGCCGUUGAUACUGAUUUUCUUGAAUUGGGUUGAGGUUAGCGGAAUGUGACAUGUAGCGGUGAAAUGCAUAGAUAUGUCAUGGAACACCAAUUGCGAAGGCAGCUAGCUGGGCCUUGAUUGACGCUGAGGCACGAAAGCGUGGAUAGCGAACAGGAUUAGAAACCCUUGUAGUCC